UACGUAGGGGGCAAGCGUUGUCCGGAUUUAUUGGGCGUAAAGAGCUCGUAGGCGGUUCCGUAAGUCGUGAAGUCAAAUCUCUGGGCUCAACCCAGAAUCGCUUCCGAUACUGCGGUGACUGGAGUCCGGUAGGGGAGUGUGGAAUUCCUGGUGUAGCGGUGAAAUGCGCAGAUAUCAGGAGGAACACCAACAGCGGAGGCAGCACUCUGGGCCGGUACUGACGCUGAGGAGCGAAAGCAUGGGGAGCGAACAGG
RNAcentral lists this ribosomal RNA (254 nucleotides) under uncultured bacterium. RNAcentral's name for it is "partial 16S ribosomal RNA". It matches the Rfam family "Bacterial small subunit ribosomal RNA", at positions 524 to 776 of the family's 1533-position model. The record is from RNAcentral.